UAAUGUUUUUUUUUUUUAACUUUUUCAUUAGUGUUGUCUUAUAGUGAGAUAGAUAAGUCAAUUAAACAGAAAAUGACAAAUAUUUUUAGUAAUUUAAUAUUUUUUUUAUUUAAUUUAAAUUACCCUAAACCACAUCAGUUGGAUAGUAUACAGUCUUAAAUUCAGUACCAUUCAAACUAAACCUCAUGAUUUCUCUUUGAAAAUAUUUUCUAGUGGAGAUCAUGAGGAUCAAAACCCUUUGAAUAUUCUUUAGAAUUUCUUUUGCGUAGAAUUAAUCUUUCAGAUUGGGAUUUUAUUAAAUUCAACAAGGUGAAAAAUGCAAAGCAAGGAAACUUAACUAAGGGAAGAUGAAGAUAAAUCAUAUACAAAAACUAGAUUAAUGGUGAACGCAAUGCACUGUGGCAAAGUCACAGGAUGUCUUUGCAAUUUCUUGAAACCUCAGGAAUGGUGAUUUAGGUGACAGAGCUUUUGCCUAACAUUUGGACAUUUCUACAAUUUCCAAAUGAGGUUUGGCUUCUUAAGCAUUACAGGGUGUUCACAGAAGGUGCAUGUGAAUAAAAAGACAACCAAUACUGGCAUACCUGGAUAUGAAGACUCAACAAUGCCUUCUCUAAACUGGAAGCCA
Molecule: unclassified non-coding RNA, 625 nt
Filed under: Hevea brasiliensis (rubber tree)
Lineage: Eukaryota; Viridiplantae; Streptophyta; Magnoliopsida; Malpighiales; Euphorbiaceae
Source: RNAcentral